AUACAGGGUCAGUUCCAGUACCAUAUUAUAAUGUACAGGGAUACUGGAUCUAUAGAGGUAGAUAUGUAUAGGGGUAAACAUACUAUAUACAGGGUCAGUACCAUAUUAUAAUGUACAGGGAUACUGGAUCUAUAGAGGUAGAUAUGUAUAGUGGUAAACAUACUAUAUACAGGGUCAGUUCCAGUACCAUAUUAUAAUGUACAGGGAUACUGGAUCUAUAGAGGUAGAUAUGUAUAGGGGUAAACAUACUAUAUACAGGGUCAGUACCAUAUUAUAAUGUACAGGGAUACUGGAUCUAUAGAGGUAGAUAUGUAUAGUGGUAAACAUACUAUAUACAGGGUCAGUACCAUAUUAUAAUGUACAGGGAUACUGGAUCUAUAGAGGUAGAUAUGUA
RNAcentral lists this long non-coding RNA (394 nucleotides) under Salmo salar (Atlantic salmon). RNAcentral's name for it is "lncRNA (ENSSSAG00000088128.1, ENSSSAG00000094033.1)". Lineage: Eukaryota; Metazoa; Chordata; Actinopteri; Salmoniformes; Salmonidae. The record is from RNAcentral.